This 516-nucleotide ribosomal RNA is filed under the name uncultured bacterium. RNAcentral's name for it is "bacterial SSU rRNA". It matches the Rfam family "Bacterial small subunit ribosomal RNA", at positions 30 to 518 of the family's 1533-position model. The record is from RNAcentral.
CGAACGCUGGCGGCGUGCCUAAUACAUGCAAGUCGAACGGCUUUUCUAUGGAAGCUUGCUUCCACUGAGAAGAUAGUGGCGAACGGGUGAGUAACACGUGGGUAACCUGCCCAUAAGAGGGGGAUAACAUCCGGAAACGGGUGCUAAUACCGCAUAGUUUUCUUGAUCGCAUGAUUGAGAAAGGAAAGACGGCCUUUGUGCUGUCGCUUAUGGAUGGACCCGCGGCGUAUUAGUUAGUUGGUGAGGUAACGGCUCACCAAGACGAUGAUACGUAGCCGACCUGAGAGGGUGAUCGGCCACAUUGGGACUGAGACACGGCCCAAACUCCUACGGGAGGCAGCAGUAGGGAAUCUUCCGCAAUGGACGAAAGUCUGACGGAGCAACGCCGCGUGAGUGAAGAAAAGGUUUUCGGAUCGUAAAACUCUGUUGUCAGAGAAGAACAAGUUGGAGAGUAACUGCUCCAGCCUUGACGGUAUCUGACCAGAAAGCCACGGCUAACUACGUGCCAGCCGCUGC